Molecule: ribosomal RNA, 459 nt
Filed under: uncultured bacterium
Lineage: Bacteria
Description: bacterial SSU rRNA
Rfam family: Bacterial small subunit ribosomal RNA
Source: RNAcentral
UACGGAAGGCAGCAGUGGGGAAUAUUGCACAAUGGGCGAAAGCCUGAUGCAGCUAUGCCGCGUGUAUGAAGAAGGCCUUAGGGUUGUAAAGUACUUUCAUCGGGGAGGAAAAAACAAAACUAAUAAUUUUAUUUCUUGACGUUACCCGAAAAAGAAGCACCGGCUAACUCCGUGCCAGCAGCCGCGGUAAUACGGAGGGUGCUAGCGUUAAUCAGAAUUACUGGGCGUAAAGAGCACGUAGGUGGUUUUUUUAAGUCAGAUGUGAAAUCCCUGGGCUUAAACCUGGAAACUGCAUUUUGAAACUGAAAAUACUAGAGUAUCGUAGAGGGAGGUAGAAUUCUAGGUGUAGCGGUGAAAUGCGUAGAUAUCUGGAGGAAUACCUGUGGCGAAAGCGGCCUCCUAAACGAAUACUGACACUGAGGUGCGAAAAGCUGGGGAGCAAAACAGGGAUUAGAUACC